GAUUUUGAUGCAUUUGAUUUGAGGAUGAGGCUUCCUGGUGUCGUUAGCGAAUUGCACAAGGCUAUAAAUCUCAAUGGUGGUGUGACUUACAUACAUUGCACUGCUGGGCUUGGAAGAGCUCCUGCUGUUACAUUGGCCUACAUGUUUUGGGUCCAAGGCUAUAAACUCAGCCAAGGCCACGAAUUGCUGCAGAGUAAACGGUCAUGCUUCCCUAAGCUGGAUGCCAUCAAAAGUGCAACUGCUGAUAUUCUCACAGGGUUACCCAAGAAUCGUGUUACUUUGACGUGGAAAAGUGACAGUUGCUCCUCAGUUGAAGUCGCUGGGCUUGAUAGUGGAUGGGGACAGAGAAUUCCCUUGAACUUUAAUAAGGAGCAAGGAUUGUGGACUCUUGAGAGGGACUUACCUGAAGGACGUUACGAAUACAAAUACAUAGUAGAUGGUGAAUGGUCCCUCAACGAGGAUGAGUUGAUAACCAUCCCAAACCGAGAUGGCCACAUAAACAACUAUGUCAAUGUUUACAGUAACGAAUCUAGCAGCGAGGACAAAGGGCUGAGAGAGCGUUUGUCCAGCGAAGAUGUAGAUCUUACCCAGGAGGAAAGGCAGACGAUCAGAGAGUUUCUGGAAUCAUAUGGGACAGAUGCGAGCAUAUAAGUCUUAUAAUGGAAUUGAAGAGCAAUGAGUGAUCAAACGACCUUAGCGAAAGCACCACCCUUCUGUGUCUUGACACAAGUUGGCCUUGGAUGUACAACCAUUAGUGACAAUAUAUGAUCAGCAUUAGGUUGAGAGGCAAUAAUUGUAUUUUAGUUUUCUAUGUACAGUCAAUUCCGAAUAAAUGGUCGACAAAACUGUAUCAUUGUGUUCUUGC
RNAcentral lists this unclassified non-coding RNA (865 nucleotides) under Hevea brasiliensis (rubber tree). The record is from RNAcentral. Lineage: Eukaryota; Viridiplantae; Streptophyta; Magnoliopsida; Malpighiales; Euphorbiaceae.